This 309-nucleotide ribosomal RNA is filed under the name uncultured eukaryote. Its description in RNAcentral is "partial 18S ribosomal RNA". It matches the Rfam family "Eukaryotic small subunit ribosomal RNA", at positions 1470 to 1796 of the family's 1831-position model. The record is from RNAcentral.
CCCUUAGAUGUUCUGGGCGGCCCGCGCGCUACAUUGGCGCUUUCAGUGCGGGUCCAGAUUUAAAAGUUCGGGGUAUUCUGUGAAGUGGUGUCGUGACUGGGAUUGACCCUUGUAAUUGUUGAUUAUGAACGAGGAAUUCCUUGUAAUCGCGGUUUAUCAGCCCGCGUUGAAUGCGUCCCUGCCCUUUGUACACACCGCCCGUCGCUCCUACCGAUGAAUCGUCCGGUGAAGUUCAUGGAGUAGCGGCUGUUUCAGCCACCGUCGAAGUGGAAUGGACCUCAUGAUUUAGAGGAAGGAGAAGUCGUAACA